AUUGGGGUGGCAGAGCAUGGUAAAUUGCAAAAGGUCUAAGCCCUUUAAAUCAGAGGUUCAAAUCCUCUCCCCAGUU
This 76-nucleotide transfer RNA is filed under the name Rhodeus ocellatus. Its description in RNAcentral is "tRNA-Leu". It matches the Rfam family "tRNA". Rfam says of the family: Transfer RNA (tRNA) molecules are approximately 80 nucleotides in length. Their secondary structure includes four short double-helical elements and three loops (D, anti-codon, and T loops). The record is from RNAcentral. RNAcentral also lists the same sequence under 4 other names. Lineage: Eukaryota; Metazoa; Chordata; Actinopteri; Cypriniformes; Acheilognathidae.